CCUACGGGAGGCAGCAGUGGGGGAUAUUGGACAAUGGGGGAAACCCUGAUCCAGCGAUGCCGCGUGAGGGAAGAAGGUUUUCGGAUUGUAAACCUCUGUGGAGGGGGACGAUAAUGACGGUACCCCUUUAGGAAGCCACGGCUAACUACGUGCCAGCAGCCGCGGUAAUACGUAGGUGGCGAGCGUUGUCCGGAAUUACUGGGUGUAAAGGGAGCGUAGACGGUUAUGUAAGUCUGGAGUGAAAGCCCGGGGCCCAACCCCGGGACUGCUUUGGAAACUGUGUAACUGGAGUACAGGAGGGGCAGGCGGAAUUCCUGGUGUAGCGGUGAAAUGCGUAGAUAUCAGGAGGAACACCGGCGGCGAAGGCGGCCUGCUGGACUGAAACUGACGUUGAGGCUCGAAAGCGUGGGGAGCAAACAGGAUUAGAUACCCGAGUAGUC
Molecule: ribosomal RNA, 440 nt
Filed under: uncultured bacterium
Lineage: Bacteria
Description: partial 16S ribosomal RNA
Rfam family: Bacterial small subunit ribosomal RNA
Source: RNAcentral